This 97-nucleotide small RNA is filed under the name Rheinheimera pacifica. The record is from RNAcentral. Lineage: Bacteria; Pseudomonadati; Pseudomonadota; Gammaproteobacteria; Chromatiales; Chromatiaceae.
CUGAAUAUUAGCAGUUGUAACGAUAGCGCACGGCUCAUUCCCUAUGAGCCAUUCCCCUAAGCCCGGAACAAUGCGGAUUGGUUCCGGGCUUCUUUUA